RNAcentral lists this ribosomal RNA (664 nucleotides) under uncultured Micromonosporaceae bacterium. RNAcentral's name for it is "bacterial SSU rRNA". It matches the Rfam family "Bacterial small subunit ribosomal RNA", at positions 136 to 816 of the family's 1533-position model. The record is from RNAcentral. Lineage: Bacteria; Bacillati; Actinomycetota; Actinomycetes; Micromonosporales; Micromonosporaceae.
CUUUGGGAUAACCCUCGGAAACGGGGGCUAAUACCGAAUAUUACUUCUGGCCGCAUGACUGGGGGUGGAAAGUUUUUCGGCUUGGGAUGGGCUCGCGGCCUAUCAGCUUAUUGGUGGGGUGAUGGCCUACCAAGGCGACGACGGGUAGCCGGCCUGAGAGGGCGACCGGCCACACUGGGACUGAGACACGGCCCAGACUCCUACGGGAGGCAGCAGUGGGGAAUAUUGCACAAUGGGCGGAAGCCUGAUGCAGCGACGCCGCGUGAGGGAUGACGGCCUUCGGGUUGUAAACCUCUUUCAGCAGGGACGAAGCGGAAGUGACGGUACCUGCAGAAGAAGCGCCGGCCAACUACGUGCCAGCAGCCGCGGUAGGACGUAGGGCGCGAGCGUUGUCCGGAUUUAUUGGGCGUAAAGAGCUCGUAGGCGGCUUGCCGCGUCGACCGUGAAAACUUGGGGCCCAAUCCCAAGCCUGCGGUCGAUACGGGCAGGCUAGAGUUCGGUAGUGGAGACUGGAAUUCCUGGUGUAGCGGUGAAAUGCGCAGAUAUCAGGAGGAACACCGGUGGCGAAGGCGGGUCUCUGGGCCGAUACUGACGCUGAGGAGCGAAAGCGUGGGGAGCGAACAGGAUUAGAUACCCUGCAGUCCACGCUGUAAACGUUGGGCGC